GCUGGGUGUGGUGGUGCACACCUGUAGUCCCAGCUAUUUGGGAGGCUGAGGCAGAAGAAUCGCUUGAACUCGGGAGGUGGAGAUUGCAGUGAGCUGAGAUUGAGUCACUCCACUUCAGCCUGGGUGACAAAGCGAGACUCUGUCUCAA
This 148-nucleotide non-coding RNA is filed under the name Gorilla gorilla gorilla (western lowland gorilla). Lineage: Eukaryota; Metazoa; Chordata; Mammalia; Primates; Hominidae. The record is from Rfam by way of RNAcentral.